AUGUCUUCUGGGUCGAGGAGCUCAUCCCGCGGCGCGGAGUGGAGCAAAAAAGAGAACAAGCUGUUCGAGGAUGCACUCGCCUACUACGGCGAGGGCACGCCCGACCGCUGGCUCAAGGUGUCCCGCGCCAUGGGCGGGACCAAGACGGCCGACGAGGUGCGCCGCCACUACGAGAUCCUUGAUAGCGACAUCAAGCUGAUCGACUCCGGCAGGGUUCCUUUCCCCAAGUACAACACCCAGGGCCGGGGGGCUUGGAACUGA
This 261-nucleotide ribosomal RNA is filed under the name Triticum aestivum (bread wheat). RNAcentral describes it as "partial small subunit ribosomal RNA". Lineage: Eukaryota; Viridiplantae; Streptophyta; Magnoliopsida; Poales; Poaceae. The record is from RNAcentral.